UAGAUACCCUGGUAGUCCACGCAGUAAACGAUGAAUGUUAGUCGUCGGGAUGCAAGUCAUUUCGGUGAUGCAGUUAACACAUUAAACAUUCCGCCUGGGGAGUACGGUCGCAAGAUUAAAACUCAAAGGAAUAGACGGGGACCCGCACAAGUGGUGGAGCAUGUGGUUUAAUUCGAAGAUACGCGAAGAACCUUACCUAGCCUUGACAUUGGUAGAAUCUUCCAGAGAUGGAGGAGUGCCUUUCGGGGAACUUGAAAACAGGUGCUGCACGGCUGUCGUCAGCUCGUGUCGUGAGAUGUUGGGUUAAGUCCCGCAACGAGCGCAACCCUCGUCAUUAGUUACUAACAGUUCGGCUGAGGACUCUAAUGAGACUGCCUUCGUAAGGAGGAGGAAGGUGAGGACGACGUCAAGUCAUCAUGGCCCUUACGGCUAGGGCGACACACGUGCUACAAUGGUUAGGACAAUGAGAAGCGAUACCGCGAGGUGGAGCAAAUCUAUAAACCUAAUCUCAGUUCGGAUUGUAGUCUGCAACUCGACUACAUGAAGCUGGAAUCACUAGUAAUCGUAGAUCAGCCAUGCUACGGUGAAUACGUUCCCGGGUCUUGUACUCACCGCCCGUCACACCAUGGGAGUUGAUUUCACCCGAAGCGGGGAAGCUAAACUGGCUACCCUCCACGGUGGAAUUAGCGACUGGGGUGAAGUCGUAACAAGGUA
RNAcentral lists this ribosomal RNA (714 nucleotides) under uncultured bacterium. RNAcentral describes it as "bacterial SSU rRNA". It matches the Rfam family "Bacterial small subunit ribosomal RNA", at positions 779 to 1498 of the family's 1533-position model. The record is from RNAcentral.